AGGAUCAUUACAGAGCUUCGAAGCCUAAGGAAAAGCAGCCGAAAGGUGAACUAUCCUUAGGAUUGAGAUCUCCACCCUUUGUUUACAUUACCUUUGUUGCUUUAGCAGGCCCGCUCUCGGGCCGCCGGCUUAGGCUGGCCAGUGCCUGCUAGAGGACCUAAAACUCUUGUUAAUAAUAUUGUCUGAGUACUAUAUAUAAUAGUUAAAACUUUCAACAACGGAUCUCUUGGUUCUGGCAUCGAUGAAGAACGCAGCGAAAUGCGAUAAGUAAUGUGAAUUGCAGAAUUCAGUGAAUCAUCGAAUCUUUGAACGCACAUUGCGCCCUCUGGUAUUCCGGGGGGCAUGCCUGUUCGAGCGUCAUUACAACCCUCAAGCUCUGCUUGGUAUUAGGCCUUACCUGCUACAGGCAGGCCGUAAAAUCAGUGGCGGUGCCUUUCGGCUUCAAGCGUAGUAAUUCUUCUCGCUUCGGAGUACCGGUUGCGUGCCUGCUAUAAAACCCCAAUUUUAUCAAAGGUUGACCUCGGAUCAGGUAGGGAUACCCGCUGAACUUAAGCAUAUCAAUAAGCGGAGGAAAAGAAACCAACAGGGAUUGCCUUAGUAACGGCGAGUGAAGCGGCAACAGCUCA
Molecule: ribosomal RNA, 626 nt
Filed under: uncultured Helotiales
Lineage: Eukaryota; Fungi; Ascomycota; Leotiomycetes; Helotiales
Description: eukaryotic LSU rRNA
Rfam family: 5.8S ribosomal RNA (bases 207-360)
Source: RNAcentral